This 303-nucleotide ribosomal RNA is filed under the name uncultured bacterium. RNAcentral describes it as "partial 16S ribosomal RNA". It matches the Rfam family "Bacterial small subunit ribosomal RNA", at positions 507 to 809 of the family's 1533-position model. The record is from RNAcentral.
AGCAGUAGCCGCGGGAAUACGUAGGGUGCAAGCGUUAAUCGGAAUUACUGGGCGUAAAGCGUGCGCAGGCGGUUAUAUAAGUCAGAUGUGAAAUCCCCGGGCUCAACCUGGGAACUGCAUUUGAGACUGUAUGGCUAGAGUGUGUCAGAGGGGGGUAGAAUUCCACGUGUAGCAGUGAAAUGCGUAGAUAUGUGGAGGAAUACCGAUGGCGAAGGCAGCCCCCUGGGAUAACACUGACGCUCAUGCACGAAAGCGUGGGGAGCAAACAGGAUUAGAUACCCCUGUAGUCCCUGUCUCUUAUAA